This 74-nucleotide transfer RNA is filed under the name Bos taurus (domestic cattle). It matches the Rfam family "tRNA". Rfam says of the family: Transfer RNA (tRNA) molecules are approximately 80 nucleotides in length. Lineage: Eukaryota; Metazoa; Chordata; Mammalia; Artiodactyla; Bovidae. The record is from Rfam by way of RNAcentral. RNAcentral also lists the same sequence under 5 other names.
UCCCUGGUGGUUCAAUGGGUAGGACUCCCAUGCCUUCACUGUUGAGAGCCUGGGUUCAAUUCCUGGCUGGGGAA